This 1287-nucleotide long non-coding RNA is filed under the name Olea europaea subsp. europaea. Lineage: Eukaryota; Viridiplantae; Streptophyta; Magnoliopsida; Lamiales; Oleaceae. The record is from RNAcentral.
AUUGGAUAUGUUCAUACGUAUGAACUCCUUGUUUCUUAAGACUGUUCUAUCAAUUCAAAGGUAAUUAGACUCUGAAUCCAAGGACAACUUGAACGUAUCACUUACUUUUUCUCUACUAUAUACACCGCAAACUUUGGUCUCUUAGCACAAACAAGCUUGCCAACUUCUCUAUCUAUAUACACGUAAUCCCAGGGCCAAGCAACCACCUAGGACCUCCAAAAAUGUGGGUUGGGCCCAGGGCUUCAAAACUCAUAGGAAUACCAGCAAGCAGCAGUCCAUGUUCGAGUCUAGCACCAGUUGUCCAGAAGAAAGCAAGAAGGAAAUUGAAGGGACGGGAAGGAAACUAAAAGGACUUAUUCGACCAAAAGGUAAGUUGUCUACUCAUCUUCUUCUAUUCAGAGGAUCAGAAUUCCCAAAUCUGAAGAUUGAAAUCUCCUCUCAGCCUCCCCAAGAACUUUUCUGUUAACGUUUUCUCUUUUCAGCAUCAGUGAACUUCUGAUAUGCCCAUAAGUUUUCUACUUUCCUCCACUCUAGCUGGCAUCAUGCUGCAGCUCCUGCUCAUCUCCACUCUCCAGUGGCCAACCCUGUUGCUCAUCUAUUAAGGUAUUAACUCUUUAGGUCACAUUUAUUGAAUAUACGUAUUUAUCACAUUAACAUGUUUGCCUUGUUCUGCCAAGAAUCUUCUUUUGAUAACCUGUUUUAAUUCUUAUUCAUUAUUGAAAUUAAUUUAGUUAACCUUGUUUAUUGAACAAGUUUGUUAUUGUUGUUUGCAUUUCGUAAAAUUGUCUGUUAAUCUCCUUUUUCUAAUGCAGAGGACGGCUCUUACAGUAUAUAUUUUCUUGUAUGGACGAGCAUAUUUGGUAAGUUAUAAUUUUAUUUUUCCUCUAUUUCCCCCGAGCCAUACAAAUUGCUAGAGUUGUCUCUGUGAUAUAAACAAUUAGAAAGCCAUCAUUUGUUAGCAUAUUCUUGAGAGAGAGAAAAACUCUUGGUGAUUUUCUAGAGAUAUGAUUUGGCCCAACUUUUACUGCUAAUGGGGACACAACACUGAAUUGGGAUUUCUAAAUUUAGAAUUCUGUCCUUGGAUUUUUGGAUUGUAGAAUGAUGAUUAUGGGUAGAAUUGUCGAAAAAUUAUGGAUUUGUGGAUUUCAGAAUUCUAUCCUCUUCAUUCUGGAUGGAAGAAUAUUGAAACAAUAAAAUUCAAAAUGUGAGAAGACUAAAUAUGAUACUAGUCUAAUCUUUUGGGUUGCAAGUGAUAUUUUAUUUUGCAAUUCUAUCUUUUAGAUUGUA